Passer domesticus (house sparrow) is the source of this 633-nucleotide long non-coding RNA. RefSeq lists it as uncharacterized. NCBI's taxonomy places the organism in Eukaryota, Metazoa, Chordata, Aves, Passeriformes, Passeridae. The transcript has 3 exons. The record is from RefSeq and is a predicted model, not a curated record.
CUUUGUCCUUAUUUUAUUGCUCUUGAGUCCAUUAAGAAUGACAGUUUGAUCUAUUAUCAGGGACUUGGCUCAAAGGGAAUGUAAAAUAAGGAACUUCAGGAUAAGUACUGCACCAUGCUACUUAGAAAACCAGAGUAAGCUCGUUUAAAUGUCAUUUCGGUACACAAAAAGCUUUUUCCAUGUUUACAACACCCAUUUUGGCUUUUGCUAACAUUCCAUUUUAUAAAAUUUCAAGUCAACCUACUACAGCAGCUUCACUGCAAGAUGAACUAACAAUCUGGUGGGCCUCCUAUCCUGAUGACCACUGAAGCACAGGGAUUUAUUUUGAAGAGCUAACACAAGUUAAAAAAAUACAGAAUGCAGACCUGUUUUUAACAGACAUUGCUGCUUGGAAGAGAGACAGUGCAAGACCUCAAUUAGAAAUUCAAAGAAUGACUUUGAGGAAGAUUGUUUUUCCUCUUCUAAUUCUGAACUCUGCAUUGGUUUUGUCUAACUUCUUCACACAGACUCAUACUCAGGAGCACUACAGAGGCCUGCAUAAAACAAGUGGCUGCCAAAAUACUUACUUUAAUGAUUUUUCAACCCAUUGAAAUGUGCUUAUCAUGGUAUCAUUAAAAAUCUCUUCACACAUCA